GAGGUACGUCAUAUUGCGCUUUUAAUCCGAACUUCGAAUAAAGCUUUAUACCAUUUUUUUAAUUAGCACAUAUUAGUUUUAAGUUAAGUGGAUUAGGAUCUAGAUUCAAACACUUGCCAAGCAGUAGAAAAAAGGAAAAAUGGUAAAGAAAGGUAUCCCAAAAAAAGUCGCUGUAAGGCAUACUGGUAAUAUGCUCUGUGUUUUCUCUAACCAGA
Molecule: long non-coding RNA, 215 nt
Filed under: Brassica napus (rape)
Lineage: Eukaryota; Viridiplantae; Streptophyta; Magnoliopsida; Brassicales; Brassicaceae
Description: long non-coding RNA (BNAP_LNC022849)
Source: RNAcentral